AUGGGUCAGCCCGGCCCGUGGCAGGAAGGCAGGGCAGCGGGGACGGCAGUGCCCAGCGGGUGGGGGCGAAGUGGGCAGAGCCGGGGGUGCCCAUGCCCGCCGCCUCACCUGGCACGAAUCUCCACGGUAGUUGGCCGGGCACAUGCACAGCUCCACGUUGCUGGCCGGAGGCCCCCCGCCCACCUCGCCGGCCACCUCGAGCGCCACGCGGCGCAGGGAGACGGCCGAGGAGGUCUGGGAGAAGAGGGCGCGGAUGUGCAGCUGCUCCAGGCCCGCCAGCACCAUCAUGAGCUCCUCGCGGGACACGGCGUUGUGGGUCUCCGUGUGUCGGAAGUUCCCCUGCGGGCACAGCAGCUCGGUGGGACCCCGACCACACACCCAGACCACGGGCACGGCGGCUCGGCAGGCAGCCAAACCAGCCCGCCCCGCGGGGGGAGCCGCCCGGCCGCCCACCCUGCGCAAACGCCAGCUCCGGACGCGGGUACUUCUGAUCUCAGAGAGACGAGCCCUUCCUUAAAUAAGACGCAAAAACCCCAACCACGCAGGAAAAUUGAUAAAUCGGAGCACAGUAAACACCUCAACUUCCAGUCACCGAGACACCUAAGACCCGGUGCGGGAGGAGCCGCUGCUCCCAAGGCGGGCGCGGGAGGCAGCAGGAACAACGACGCACAACCUCCCCAAGCGGGGGAGAAGCCCAGGAGCCGAAAGAACCCGAGCGGGAGGGAGCGCCGGGCCCCGGGCAGCGGGCGGCGGGACGGGAGGAGCCUGCACCCGCGCCCAGGCCCGUCUCCCGUCCUGGGGGCCCCUGGGCCUCCCCCGGGGUCAAGGGACCUGGGCGCCCGGGCCGGCUGCGCUCACCUCCACCAGCUGCAGCUGUCCCUGGUGAACGUGGCCGGGUGCCGGGUACACCGGUUCCAGGAACGUGAUGCUCAUCUGGUUGCCCUGGGAGGUGCGGGGGCAGGUGAGGGCUGCACCUGGGCCGACCCGCUCCUGCCCACUGUGCCCGCCCGCCCAGCCAGCCACGUCCACCCCGUCGGUCACCUGCAGCACCACGUCCGGCCUGCUUUCCCUGGGGAUGAACACAUCUCCGCGCUGGGUCUCCGAGUGCAGCUCAUAGCGGAGGGUUCCGCCAUAGGAUGA
Molecule: long non-coding RNA, 1140 nt
Filed under: Canis lupus familiaris (dog)
Lineage: Eukaryota; Metazoa; Chordata; Mammalia; Carnivora; Canidae
Description: lncRNA (ENSCAFG00805022633.1, ENSCAFG00845016892.1)
Source: RNAcentral